CGCUGGCGGCGUGCUUAACACAUGCAAGUCGAGCGGUAAGGCCUUUCGGGGUACACGAGCGGCGAACGGGUGAGUAACACGUGGGUGAUCUGCCCUGCACUUCGGGAUAAGCCUGGGAAACUGGGUCUAAUACCGGAUAUGACCUCAGGUUGCAUGACUUGGGGUGGAAAGAUUUAUCGGUGCAGGAUGGGCCCGCGGCCUAUCAGCUUGUUGGUGGGGUAAUGGCCUACCAAGGCGACGACGGGUAGCCGACCUGAGAGGGUGACCGGCCACACUGGGACUGAGACACGGCCCAGACUCCUACGGGAGGCAGCAGUGGGGAAUAUUGCACAAUGGGCGAAAGCCUGAUGCAGCGACGCCGCGUGAGGGAUGACGGCCUUCGGGUUGUAAACCUCUUUCAGCAGGGACGAAGCGCAAGUGACGGUACCUGCAGAAGAAGCACCGGCUAACUACGUGCCAGCAGCCGCGGUAAUACGUAGGGUGCAAGCGUUGUCCGGAAUUACUGGGCGUAAAGAGUUCGUAGGCGGUUUGUCGCGUCGUUUGUGAAAACCAGCAGCUCAACUGCUGGCUUGCAGGCGAUACGGGCAGACUUGAGUACUGCAGGGGAGACUGGAAUUCCUGGU
Molecule: ribosomal RNA, 623 nt
Filed under: Rhodococcus sp. (in: high G+C Gram-positive bacteria)
Lineage: Bacteria; Bacillati; Actinomycetota; Actinomycetes; Mycobacteriales; Nocardiaceae
Description: bacterial SSU rRNA
Rfam family: Bacterial small subunit ribosomal RNA
Source: RNAcentral